CCCCGUGCCCUCACCCGAGCCCUCUCACGCGCGAUCUCCCUUGCCCUAACCGGCAUCGCGACGGUUUCUUCCUUCUCCUCGUCGUGUGCCCUAGUUCUUAUCCGUGCCUAUUUCCUUUCGGUGCCGAUCCUGUCCUCAUCUCCCUCGUGCGCACGCCCUCACUCCCUCUGCCACUAGCGACGAGAGCCACCUCUCCUUUCCUCUUGCCGACACAGACGCCGACUCUCUCUGCCUAGCACUAUCGCCGGCCACCAGGUCUGACCGAGCGUCGCCCUCCUGAUCCUCUCCUCGCCUCUACUUCACUCUUUUGAUCUCUGCGUGCCGGCAGUCGACCGCCUCGCCUGUGCCCUAGAUUUGCAGCGCGCCGUCGCCGCACGAAAUAAUGCCGGCAGCCCGAGUCCCUCCCACCAGACAACCUCUGUGCUCUAGCGCCGAUUGUCGCCACUAUUCCCUACCGACGCUGCUGCCCUAGUGUCCUCUGCCCUUGAUCAAUCCACGUGUACUGGAAUUCAGAAGAGAAGUGCUUGCGGUGGGGUGUUUCUUUGGUCCAGCAGCCGCGUUCUUGAUUGUGGAUCAGUAGAGGAGGGUGUGAAGUGAGAUCUUGUUCUCUGAAUCGCGACGGUGAGUUGCUGAUUGACUGCUAUACCUUAAGUUGGGCAUCUGUAAAGUGAUGAAUUUUAGGACUUUGACGCAAGAUGAGUAUCUCGACGUCGAAUUUGGACCGGAUUGGACCUUUCUAUU
Long non-coding RNA from Zingiber officinale, 741 nucleotides. RefSeq lists it as uncharacterized. NCBI's taxonomy places the organism in Eukaryota, Viridiplantae, Streptophyta, Magnoliopsida, Zingiberales, Zingiberaceae. The transcript has 3 exons. The record is from RefSeq and is a predicted model, not a curated record.